This 7604-nucleotide long non-coding RNA is filed under the name Heterocephalus glaber (naked mole-rat). RNAcentral describes it as "lncRNA (ENSHGLG00000050285.1)". Lineage: Eukaryota; Metazoa; Chordata; Mammalia; Rodentia; Bathyergidae. The record is from RNAcentral.
AUAUAUUAGAAAUCUAAAUGUAAUAUAAAAAUUGAGAUAAACUCAAUUUUUAAAACUAAAAGGUAGACUUGUAUAUAUAUAAAGAUUGAAUUUAGUCAUAGAAAUGAGGUUAGUAAUAUUCAGUUUUAGUUCUGGUUUUUUUGAGAGCGCAUUCCCGAACAAGCAUUCCCUCUCCAUUGACCAGUUAUCGCUUAUUGUUUCUCAUACUAUUAGUACUAGUCUAAUGUGGGCCUCUUCUUAACAUGCUGGAUGGCAGGCCAAACGUCAGUUCAAAAUAAAUAGUGUUGUUAUUCCUUCAUUAUUAUUCCUCUAUGUAUUAAUACCUUUGCUAAGUGCUAGGAAUUUUAUAAAGAGAAAUAAGUGUAGAAUUUCACAGUUUAUAGUUUAGCCAUUGGCUGAUUAUAGUUGCAGGGAAGCAAAUAAAUUUGUUACUGUGGCAGCCUACAAAUUGUGUAUUCAAUGUCUAUUCUUCUAUCUUCCACAAUAAUGAACUAAUAUUCAGGUGUCAAAAACAUGUUUACAGCCAUGCAGCUAAAUUCUAAGGAAGGAAGGAAGAUUGGUAAAACUUCUAUGAUAACCCCUUAAAAAUAAUAACAGAAAACUGGGGACAUUUAUUGAUAAAAACAUCUAUGUUCCUCUCAGCUUCCUUGAAUGUCGAUUAAAUGCCUAGGUAUUUAUAUUGGUCUUAGCUAUGAGACAACUUUACAUGGUAGAUGUCAUAUGGGAAAAAUAAAAUGCUAGACUUCUGUCAAUUUUGAACCAAUCAUGACUAUAAAGCCUUUCCUCUGGAUUUAUUUUAUAUAAAAGGAAAAUAAGUUGUUUUAUAUUUACUAAUAUAUUUACAGUUUUUUGUUAUAUUCAACCAAUCUAAUCCUAUAUGAUUCACUUAUCAAUGAAACUAAAUGGUUCCAAUUUAUGAAUAAAUCAAGUAGGCCUUGAAUAUCUAAGAUUCAUAUAAAUAGGUGAAUGGGGCCAUAGACAUACAGGAAGAAAAUAUACUAGUAUGUUUGAAGUAGGAAAUUACAUUGAAUAGUCUCUAAAUACACCUUUAUUCAUCCAACAUGGAACUAGUGAUCCAUAGUUGCUAAACCACAGAGUCUAUGAAAAAAGAGAAAAGAAAUAGGGUGAAAUGAUAAGUUAUAAAGAGUUUAUAGUCUUCAGUGUCUAAAGAAUGGAUUCUGUUUUUUUUUAAAUUAUAAUGCCAUCACUAAUUAUUUACAAAGUAAGAGAAAAAUUUAGAGCUGAAUGGACCUUAAAAUCUCCUGAGGCAGUAAUUUUCAAAAUAUGCUAUGGGAAAAACCUCAUGAGAAUUACUUGAUGGGCAGUGUGUGGAAGCAGAGUUUGGGAAAGACAGGUCCUCAGCACUGAGUGAUCCUCAUUCAGGACAACUCUGCUUUUGUCUGUUUAUUAAUCAGUGUAGCACUUCUUUGAAAAACUAUUCCAAAGUUAACAUUAGGAAUCUACUACUUGACACAAAAAUUUUACUAUAGUUACUGGAAAAAACUGACUCAGAGGAGACUUUUGUGCACUGUGAAUUAGGACUUGGCCCCAAUCCAUAGAACAUUAGCCAAUUUCCUCUCUUAUGUUAUGGAUAUAUCUUAACUGUGCUCCCAGAUAAUCUGAAAUGUACUUCCAAGGGACAAAUGUUGGAGACUGGACAACUACUUAUAAAACUUAGUUGAUUUGCUACUCCAGAGAGGUGAUAGCCUCAGGCCAGGGCAGAGUCAAAAGAACUAAGUGAAUGUAUAUUAGUCACCCCAGUGGGUUCUAUGCCUCCCUCAUCAGUAGUGUAAACAGGUCUCUGCUUUUAUUUCCUUGUGUUAAAAAUCCUCACAGUAGCAUUUUUUUUUUCUCUAAUUGCAUCCUGACUUACACCCAGUCAAUGCCCUGUAUUUUACUAAAGAGAACUAUUGAGACUGGACAUUUCAUUUACCUUAUGAUUUGAGGCAACCUGCAGCCUCAAACUUUGGGUCUAGCUAUUUGAUGCUUCAUUCUUGAGGCUAUGAAAAAUAAGAUUCUUUAAUUCCAGGAAUUAGCAUUCUAGCUUACUCAUUGUACCUCAAGCAGAGAGCUAAAACCCUGAGCAUUUUAUGUAGUUUCAGUGUACAGUCCUGUGCUUAUUCCCUUUUUGUCAUUCUUUUCCAAGAGUCACUAGGACCCUGUAUUUGCUCUCAUUAAGCUUUCUAUGCACAUAGCUACAAGUGAUAAUGUAAGUAAAUGUUGAUCAAUGUGUCUCAUGGACAACAGUUUCAUUUACCUUUGAAGUCAUUACUGCCUUCAGAUCUCACUAAGUGAGAAAACCAAGACAAGUUUCAUCUGUAGGUGGUCCUUUCCCUACAAAGUACUCUGUUGUCUACCAGUUGGGGCAGUUAUGAAAACAGACAUCGCUAGAGAUAAUUAUCAACAUAAGAUGAUUUAUUAUCGUGACCUGGAGAGACAUGUUUCAAGGGCUGGUAAAGAAAGGUCAGAAAGUUACUUCUGGCUUUCAGAAAUGCCAGAAUUACAAAAAAGUCAUUACUAGUAAACUUAGCUUUCUAACAAUACCAAAGUCAGUGAUUCUCAGGAGGAUGCCCAUACAUUGCUAGAAGCUGCUGUUGAUUAUCACAGCUGCCUACGGCACUAAAGUGGAUAAUUCUCAGGAGGAUCCCUGAAAGCCACUAGCAAAACUCCCUUUUUGCCAUCUGCUGAUGCCCUUACUCUAAGCAGUAUAAGGAAGUUGCUGAGAAAGAACACCCAUUAUUCAGCCCAAGACAUGUGCGAAAGACUGCUGAAACUGAAUUGAUAUUGCACAAGUCUUCACUUUGCAAAGUAAUGAAGAAGCAGAAAAAUGACUGUACAAGCGAAAACCAUGCAAAUCAAUUUUAAUAAUCAAGAAAAAUUAUAACUGUUUUACAGCCCUUAAAAUUUUUCGUAAGUUAUUAGUAACCUUCAUAUUUAGUUAUACUAGUAUAAGGAAAAGAAAAAUAACAAAACUAAUAUUUGUGCACAGUUCUUUAAUUUAAAACAUCACAAGCUGGCAACCCAUUUUAUUUCUUUUUUAUAAAAUAUGCCAAGAGUAGUUUAAACAGUACUUGACUUCUCAUCAUAUAACUUACUCUAUGGAGACAGCAUCUUUUAUAUGUCUUGGUGAAUUGCAUAGCCCUUGCUAAACUUGGAUCAGCUUCCAACAUUUUAUACUUUAUAUGUUUAGUGCCAUGAGUUAUGUCUGAGAACUCCCUUACUGUGAAAUUCUUUGCCCAUAUCACUUUCUCUGGCACAACAUUAUCUUUUUCAUUAUAACCACUUUCUUCAUUUAUUCAUGAAGCCUACUUGAGUAGACUAGUGAAAAUCUACCUGCAUAACUGAUUCUUUCCAAUGUGGGUCAUAGCAAUAUCCCUCUGGUCAGCUGUUUUCCAUAAUAUUAUUUAUAUUUUAUUUGAAUUAUGACUUCAGUAUUAUCAUUUAGCAUUUUGCAUUGCUGAAAUUUGAAAGGAGUUCUUUGGAACUGGUAUUAUAUAACUAAAAUAUGGAGAAUGAAAUCUAUGCACACUGGAAACUUCAGAAGAAAGGACAACAUGGCUUAGUGAUCAGACCCCUUUACUUGGUGUGGAGAGCAAGAGUUGGGAAGAUAAUAAAAUCAAUGUUAACUUUAAAAAUGUAAAUAUGGAAAAUAUAAUGCCAAUGCAUAUAAACAAGUGGUGGAGAAAUUGAGGAAAGCUGAGGAAAUUAAUUUUGACCUCUUGAAUUUUAGGUGCAUAAGCCUAAUCCAUUUGAAAAUGCCCACCAACCUGUUAAAAUUCCAAUCUGUAUUCCAGGAAAUUUAGGCAUCACAAAUACCAACUUAUCAACAGCAAAGAGAUGGCAAAGUGAGUGUGUAAAAUUGCUGUACUCAAACUCUCAAGAUCUCUCAUGGAUUUGAUGUUUGGGAGAUAACAAUCCAUGGGAACUGUAGACAGUCACAUUGAAAGAGAAAUCUAGAAAAUCAAAAGGGUAGUUAGUUCAUUUUUAGAACAAAACUAAGGGAAACUAUGAACAAUGACAGGCAAGGUUAAGAAAUACUGUGAAAGAUAAGUAAUAAGUAAAAAGCCACUAGAUUUUUCCAUUUAGAAAAUAAGUGUUGAGUCUUCAGUAGAAAACUGUUGAUAAAAUGUUGGGAGCUAAGAAGAGAAGAAGACAAGAAAGAUUUGGGAGUUGAUGGACAGUGGACCAUGUGUUUGAGGUUUAUUAAAGGAAAUAGUAGUUUAUAAAAUACAGUGAGAAAAAUCAUUGUGUCUUUUCUGAGGAGGAAAUCUGUUUUCCUCUAGAGAGGAAGUUAAUAAAAAGACAAUAAUUGAAAACACAGGUUCAAAAGAGAUGGAGAAGGUUGGAAUAGAUACAUUUAACAUGACUUCUAUAUGAGUAAGGGCUCUUGUUUUGGACAGAAAAGAGAAGGUGACAAAUGAGAGUUUUAGGGAAAGAACAGGGAUUCUGGUGGAGUCUUCAUUAGGAUCUAUCUUCACCUCAAAAUAGAAUGAGAGGGGUCACUCAGCGGAGAGUAAGAGCAAAUGUCAAGUUGAGAAUUUGUGAAAACCUGAGAAUUGUUUAUUGUGUUGAUAAAACAUAUUUAAAAGUUAUUUAGGGGCCAGGAUUUAGCUCAGUGGUUCCGCCACCUGCCUCGCAAGCGCAAGGACCUGAGUUUGAUCCCCAGUAAAAAAAAAAAAAAAUGAUUUAGUACUUGUGUUACCUUAUCAUAAAUUAUAACACAGGGAUUGAACCUUGAAAAAUUAAAUUUCUUUGUUCUUAAUAUUCUCAGUUUCAACUACCUGAGAAUAGAUAUAUAAGAAAGAAAUGUUCAUAUUUCUUUCUUUUGAAUUUUUUAUUUGUUUAGUAGUACAUGUUUGUAGUAUAUAUUGUUUACAUUCUUUGUGGGGAGUUGGUACAUGUACAUAACACACCUUAAUUUAUUUUUUUCGUCUUCUUCCUCUUCUACCAUCCCCUCUCCCUCUGUCUCCUGUUCCACUUUCCACUUGAGAAAGAUAUAGCUUCCUACUCCCUGUUAUAUAACUUUUAUUUUAUCUUUAUUUAUAAUUUUCAUAUAAGAGAAACCAUGUGAUAUUUAAGCUCCUGUGUCUGAUUUAUUUCACAUAUAGUCUCAAGGUACAUCCAUUUUCCCACAAAUGGCUCAAGUAUAUCCUUUCUGGCAGAAUAAUAUUUCCAUUGUGUGUUUUCUAGUUUCUGUUUUUUAAGGAACCUCCAUACUGAUUUCUAUAGCGGUUGUACCAGUUUACAUUCCCACCAAAAAUAUUGAAGUGUUUCUUUUUCCCCUAAUCCUCACCGGCAUUUGCUGUUGUCUGAUUUCUUGAUGAUGGCCAUUAUUUCUGUGGUAAGGUGAAAUCUCAAUGUUUUAAUUUGCAUUUCUCUAAUGGCCUGCAACACUGAACAAUUUUUCAUGUAUCUAUUGAUCAUUUGUACUUCUGAGAAAUGUCUGUUCAUUUCACUUGCUUAUUUCUUUUAUUUAGGGGAAAUCUAAUAUAUUGAAUUCUUCAUAUAUUCUAGAUACUACUUCUCUGUCAGGAAUAACUGGAAAAAUGUAUCCUAUUCUGUACAUUGCCAUUUCAUUCUGUUGGUUGUUUCUUUUGCUGUACAGAAGCUGUUAAAUUUGAUAUGCCGCAUUUAUUGGUUCUUAAUUUAUUGGUUCUUAUUUCCUCCACUAUGGGGUUUUUUUUUCCUGCACUAUGGGGGUUCUUUUCAAAAAAUCCUUGCUUAUGCCUAUGAAUUCAAGAAUUUACCCUAGUUAAUUUCCAGCAAAUUGUUUAUGUUUAUUACUUGGCUCUUUAAUUGACUUUGAUUUAAUUUAGUACAUGAUGAGAGAUAUGGUCUAAAUUCAACCUUCUGCACAUGAAUAGCCACUUUUCCCAGCACCAUUUAGUAAAGAGGCUUUCAUCUCAUGUAUAUUUUUGUCACCUUUGCAAAAAUCAAAUAGUUGAGUGUGCUUUGGGUUGUUUCUGUAUCCUGUAUUGUGUUCCAUUGAUGCACAUUUUUUUUUGUAGCCAGCCAUGCUAUUUUUAUUAUUGUAGCUUUAUAAUAAAACUUCAGAUCUGGGAUUAUGAUGUUAUGAUGCCUCCUACUUUACUCUUGUUACCCUACUUUUGGACUCUGGUUCUCUUUUGGCAACUCAUGAAUUUUAAGAUUGUUUUCUCUAGUUCUAUGAAGAAUGCUGUUGGUAUUUCUUGUAAUUGUGUUAAAUCUGUAUAUCAAUUUUGGAAGUAUGCUCAUUUUGUCUAUAUUGCUUCUGACUAUUCAGGAAAAUGGAAUAUCUUUCCAUCUUUGAUCUCCUUUUUCAGAAUACUAGUUUUCAUUGUUGAAGUCUUUUGUUGGCUUAGGUUAUUCCUUAAGUAUUUAAUUUUUCUUAAUACUAUUGUGAAUGGUAGUUUUUAAAUUUUUCUCUCAGUGAGUUCAUUAUUGGUGUAUAGAAACACUUGAUUUUUGUGUAUUGAUUUUGUAUCUUACUACAUUGCUGAAUUUGUUAUUUCUAGGAGUCUAUUGGUGUAUUUUGAGGGGGUCUUCUACUUAGAGAAUGAUUAUAUUUCUACAAGGAUAGUGAUGUAGCAGAAGGUAAUGACCUUGCGGUAUUAGAAAAAUCAUCAUUAAAAAGGAUCCCUGAGAAUAAUAAAACAAAGUUAAGAGAAUUAAGAAUAUACACUGACUAUCAGGGUGAUAGAAAAUGAGUUUAUUGAGUAGUAAGCAAUUCUUUGUUCCCUGUCAAAAUUUUUUAAGACUGAUGUUCAGAGAGUGGUUCACCAAUGUCAAAUAUUGUACUUUUGAGGUUCAAAUACAUAAUUAUAUUCACACAACUAUAGGAUACCCUUUAGCUCCACAUAUGUUGAUCUCUUUUUCUAUAGUUAAGUCAGCCUGUGGUAUCUGUAGCUUGGGGGUGGCAGUGUUCUUGACCACAUUUUUGACAACAUUAUUCAGUGUAAUUUAGUUUUGAGUUUUCUCCUAUCAAACUGAUUUCCAGAAUGAGGGAGGGAAAAAGAGAGGGGAAGAGAAGAAGAAGAAGAGGAAGAAAAAAGAAGAAGGAGGAGGAGGAAGAAGAAAGAAAAAAGAAAAGAAAGAAAAAGGAAGGAAGGAAGAAAAAAUAGAAGGAAAGGAAGGAAGAGAGGAGAGAAGGAGAAGAGAAAAGAAGAAAAAACUAGUUAGAGAUGAGGAUGAGGAAGGUAUCAUGAUUAAGGAGGAAAAAAUUAAAAGGGUGGUAAAGGAAUUGAAAAUGAUGAAGAUAUGUUAUAUGCAUGCACUAAUUCACCAAAAUGAACAAUCAUUAUUCUAUACUGCAAACAUAGUCUAAAACAUAAAGUAAAAUCAAAGUCUAAUAGGUCAGUGCCUUUACAAGUAGUUUUCCUUUUACAUAAUUAUUUCCAUAUGGAAAGGUGGCUCUUGCUAAACCACGAACUGGUUAUAAGUCAGUCAUACCCAAUCAUUUUAUGAAUUUAGUAUGGCUGUACAUAGAUUCUACAAAACAAACUGACUCUUCUUUUGGAACCACCUGGUAAAAAACUGUUAGAUUAAAAGAAGAAAUUUAACUUGGAUUAACUUUUGAGUUAAGAAAUGGAGAAAUUAGUUUUUUAAAUAUAAAAUCAUAAUCCUAA